RNAcentral lists this ribosomal RNA (514 nucleotides) under uncultured Mycoplasmataceae bacterium. RNAcentral describes it as "bacterial SSU rRNA". It matches the Rfam family "Bacterial small subunit ribosomal RNA", at positions 622 to 1158 of the family's 1533-position model. The record is from RNAcentral. Lineage: Bacteria; Bacillati; Mycoplasmatota; Mollicutes; Mycoplasmatales; Mycoplasmataceae.
UGCAUUGGAAACUGUUAACCUAGAGUUUGGUAGAGAGUUCUGGAACUCCAUGUGGAGCGGUGGAAUGCGUAGAUAUAUGGAAGAACACCAGUUGCGAAGGCGAGAACUUGGGCCACAACUGACGCUUAGGCUCGAAAGUGUGGGGAGCAAAUAGGAUUAGAUACCCUAGUAGUCCACACCGUAAACGAUGGGUGUUAAACGUCGGGAUUUAAUCUCGGUGUUGUAGUUAACACAUUAAACACCCUGCCUGGGUAGUACAUUCGCAAGAAUGAAACUCAAACGGAAUUGACGGGGACCCGCACAAGUGGUGGAGCAUGUUGUUUAAUUCGACGAUACACGUAGAACCUUACCUAGACUUGACAUCCUUGGCGAAGUUAUAGAAAUAUAAUGGAGGUUAACCGAGAGACAGGUGGUGCAUGGUUGUCGUCAGCUCGUGUCGUGAGAUGUUGGGUUAAGUCCCGCAACGAGCGCAACCCUUAUCGUUAGUUAUUUUGUCUAACGAGACUGCCAACGC